GACGAACGCUGGCGGCGUGCCUAACACAUGCAAGUCGAGCGAGGUAUUUAUACCUAGCGGCGGACGGGUGAGUAACACGUGGUAACCUGCCUCAUAGAGGGGAAUAGCCUUCCGAAAGGGAGAUUAAUACCGCAUAAUAUAUACCGGUAGCAUUAAUGGUAUAUCAAAGGAGAAAUCCGCUAUGAGAUGGGCCCGCGGCGCAUUAGCUAGUUGAGAGGUAACGGCUCACCAAGGCGACGAUGCGUAGCCGACCUGAGAGGGUGAUCGGCCACAUUGGAACUGAGACACGGUCCAGACUCCUAC
RNAcentral lists this ribosomal RNA (303 nucleotides) under uncultured bacterium. RNAcentral describes it as "bacterial SSU rRNA". It matches the Rfam family "Bacterial small subunit ribosomal RNA", at positions 28 to 342 of the family's 1533-position model. The record is from RNAcentral.